Solanum dulcamara is the source of this 838-nucleotide RNA transcript. RefSeq lists it as uncharacterized. The record is from RefSeq and is a predicted model, not a curated record. The transcript is spliced from 2 exons. Lineage: Eukaryota; Viridiplantae; Streptophyta; Magnoliopsida; Solanales; Solanaceae.
UUGUUUUCCCCAAUCCCUCAAAACUCUGAAGUGUUCUCUCAUGUGAAAGGAAUUGAGGAGGACUGAGAGACACAUUUUUAUUUUUUUUGUUUUCAUCUUCUUCUUCUUUCUCUUUUCAGUGCCCGCGUCAACAGCGUGAGAGUGCGAAGGCCUAACUGUUCGGGUACCCAUUGAGAUGGAGGGCCAAAGCCUUGUGAAGCAGAAGACUGACUUCACUGAAAAUGAUCAAUGGACCCAUUAAAACUUUCUUAAUUGAGGCAGAAGACUGCUCGCAAUCACAGUCUCUGCUCGUGUACGCUGCUCGCAACUCACACAUCGCAGUCGCAGCAGGUCGCAUGUCUGCGUCGCAACCCACCGCACGUUACAUCACGCCUCACGUCGCAACAGAGCAAUCUCAAAGGUAUUCUUAUGUGACAUAAAUUGGCAAUAACAGUUUGGUGCCUCAUUAAAGAGAACUACUCUGUUUUCUAUUGAUGCACUCUGAUGGACUAGUGGAAGUCACAUGAUAUCUUUGCUCACUGUCGAGCUUGCUGCAUUAGAGGAAAGAGAGAAGAAGAGAGACGAGCAGAUGACAGUAGCAAAGGAGGUAGAAACAAGAGGUAUGCAACGCUUCAGGCUCAACUAAAUUCUCUUUUGGAAUCGGGAAAUAUUAUUUCUCCAUGUCUUGUUGAUACACGUCGAGGUCAAGUGGAUGGAACCAAAGAGGAGAGUGAGGGUGAUGAGGAAUAGUUGUAUCUAUUACCUAGACAUUUCAGAUUUUGUAUUUAUAGUUUGUAUACUUUUUAAAUUGUUUGAUCCUAUUUUAGUUUAAUUUGAAUGAAUUCAAGUUUAAUUUGAA